GCUGGGCGCCGUGGUGCAUGCCUGUAAUCCCAACGGCUUUGGAGGCUGAGGCAGGAGGAUUUUGAGUUCAAAGCCAGCCUCAG
Molecule: small RNA, 83 nt
Filed under: Marmota monax (woodchuck)
Lineage: Eukaryota; Metazoa; Chordata; Mammalia; Rodentia; Sciuridae
Source: RNAcentral